RNAcentral lists this transfer RNA (64 nucleotides) under Pallenopsis pilosa. RNAcentral's name for it is "tRNA-Gly". Lineage: Eukaryota; Metazoa; Arthropoda; Pycnogonida; Pantopoda; Pallenopsidae. The record is from RNAcentral.
ACUUCUUAAGUACUAAGUAUAUUUGACUUCCAAUCAUAAAGGUUUAAUUCUAUUAAAAGAAGUA